RNAcentral lists this ribosomal RNA (462 nucleotides) under uncultured bacterium. RNAcentral's name for it is "bacterial SSU rRNA". It matches the Rfam family "Bacterial small subunit ribosomal RNA", at positions 28 to 526 of the family's 1533-position model. The record is from RNAcentral.
GAUGAACGCUGGCGGCGUGCCUAAUACAUGCAAGUCGAGCGGAAAGGCCCCUUCGGGGGUACUCGAGCGGCGGACGGCUGAGUAACGUGUAGGAACGUACCCCAAACUGAGGGAUAAGCACCAGAAAUGGUGUCUAAUACCGCAUGUGCUCUACGGAGUAAAGCUUCGGCGGUUUGGGAACGGCCUGCAUAUGAUUAGCUUGUUGGUAAGGUAAUGGCUUACCAAGGCGACGAUCAUUAGCUGGUCUGAGAGGAUGAUCAGCCAGACUGGGACUGAGACACGGCCCAGACUCCUACGGGAGGCAGCAGUAGGGAAUUUUCCACAAUGGGCGAAAGCCUGAUGGAGCAACGCCGCGUGCAGGAUGAAUGCCUUCGGGUUGUAAACUGCUUUUAUAUGUGACGAAUAUGACGGUAGCAUAUGAAUAAGGAUCGGCUAACUCCGUGCCAGCCGCCGCCGUAAAAC